RNAcentral lists this ribosomal RNA (454 nucleotides) under uncultured bacterium. Its description in RNAcentral is "bacterial SSU rRNA". It matches the Rfam family "Bacterial small subunit ribosomal RNA", at positions 923 to 1379 of the family's 1533-position model. The record is from RNAcentral.
GCACAAGCGGUGGAGCAUGUGGUUUAAUUCGACGCAACGCGCAGAACCUUACCAGGCCUUGACAUCCCGUGCUAAGCCCAGAGAUGGGUGGUCCCCGCAAGGGGCGCGGAGACAGGUGCUGCAUGGCUGUCGUCAGCUCGUGUCGUGAGAUGUUGGGUUAAGUCCCGCAACGAGCGCAACCCUCGCCUUUAGUUGCCAUCAUUAAGUUGGGCACUCUAAAGGGACCGCCGGCGACAAGCCGGAGGAAGGUGGGGAUGACGUCAAGUCCUCAUGGCCCUUACGGCCUGGGCUACACACGUGCUACAAUGGCGGUGACAAUGGGCAGCGACCACGCGAGUGGAUGCGAAUCCCAAAAAACCGUCCCAGUUCAGAUUGCACUCUGCAACUCGGGUGCAUGAAGGUGGAAUCGCUAGUAAUCGCAGAACAGCAGGCUGCGGUGAAUACGUUCCCGGGC